CGUAGGGGGCAAGCGUUGUCCGGAAUCAUUGGGCGUAAAGCGCGCGUAGGCGGCCCGGUAAGUCCGCUCUGAAAGUCCAGGGCUCAACCCUGGAAAGCGGGUGGAUACUGCCGGGCUCGAAUCCGGAAGAGGCGAGUGGAAUUCCUGGUGUAGCGGUGGAAUGCGCAGAUAUCAGGAGGAACACCAAUAGCGAAGGCAGCUCGCUGGGACGGUAUUGACGCUAAGGCGCGAAAGCGUGGGGAGCAAACAGGAUUAGAUACCCUGGUAGUCCACGCCGUAAACGAUGGGCACUAGGUGUGGGAGGUGUCGACUCCUCCCGUGCCGACGCUAACGCAUUAAGUGCCCCGCCUGGGGAGUACGGCCGCAAGGCUA
Molecule: ribosomal RNA, 372 nt
Filed under: uncultured organism
Description: bacterial SSU rRNA
Rfam family: Bacterial small subunit ribosomal RNA
Source: RNAcentral